This 323-nucleotide ribosomal RNA is filed under the name uncultured bacterium. RNAcentral describes it as "bacterial SSU rRNA". It matches the Rfam family "Bacterial small subunit ribosomal RNA", at positions 30 to 352 of the family's 1533-position model. The record is from RNAcentral.
AUUGAACGCUGGCGGCAGGCCUAACACAUGCAAGUCGAGCGGAUGAGUGGAGCUUGCUCCAUGAUUCAGCGGCGGACGGGUGAGUAAUGCCUAGGAAUCUGCCUGGUAGUGGGGGACAACGUUUCGAAAGGAACGCUAAUACCGCAUACGUCCUACGGGAGAAAGCAGGGGACCUUCGGGCCUUGCGUUAUCAGAUGAGCCUAGGUCGGAUUAGCGUAGUAGGUGAGGUAAUGGCUCACCUAGGCGACGAUCCGUAACUGGUCUGAGAGGAUGAUCAGUCACACUGGAACUGAGACACGGUCCAGACUCCUACGGGAGGCAGC